UAGCCUGCCCAGUGACAUUAAAGUUUAACGGCCGCGGUAGCAUGACCGUGCUAAGGUAGCAUAAUCAUUUGUCCUUUAAUUGAGGACUGGUAUGAACGGCUGAACAAGAAAUCAACUGUCUCUGCUAUAAAUUUUGAAAUUGACAUUUAAGUGAAAAGGCUUAAAUGAGAUAGGGGGACGAUAAGACCCUAUAAAUCUUGAUGAUUAAGAUAAUAAAUUUUAGGCAGUAGUAAUAAGUUUAAAUUUAAUGUCCUUAAUUAUUUUGUUGGGGCGACAGGAGUAUAAGAAGUAACUGCUUUGGAAAAAAUAAUUAAUUAUUUUUAUGAUGUUUUGUUUGUGAUCCUUCUAUGAAGAUAAUAGAUCAAGUUACUUUAGGGAUAACAGCGUAAUCUUUCUUGAGAGUCCAUAUCGAAAGAAGGGGUUGCGACCUCGAUGUUGAAUUAAAGAGCCUUUGUGGUGUAGCAGC
RNAcentral lists this ribosomal RNA (466 nucleotides) under Panulirus japonicus (Japanese spiny lobster). RNAcentral's name for it is "partial 16S ribosomal RNA". It matches the Rfam family "Bacterial large subunit ribosomal RNA", at positions 1854 to 2562 of the family's 2925-position model. The record is from RNAcentral. Lineage: Eukaryota; Metazoa; Arthropoda; Malacostraca; Decapoda; Palinuridae.